Non-coding RNA from Trametes meyenii, 82 nucleotides. The record is from the annotation of a GenBank genome assembly. Lineage: Eukaryota; Fungi; Basidiomycota; Agaricomycetes; Polyporales; Polyporaceae.
ACACUGAUGGUGAAACGGUAUCAUGCUUGCCUUCCAAUCUUCGCUACAGCAAGCGGCGCGGGUUCGACUCCCGCUCAGUGUA